CUGAAGAUAUUUAUUUCACUCAGCACUAAUAGUCCACAAAUAGAAAUCUAACCUUUAAGAAGCAAAAUCUUUGAACUGUCAGACAUUAGUCUGUAAGGGACAGGAAACGUAUGAUAUGUAAUUGAAUCACCACCCUCUGUUUUCAAUCCUACGUUUCUCAUCCCAGAUAAAGGGCCUCUUCUCACACUCCCUUAUCCUUGCCUCAAGCCUCACCUCUGGGAUUCACUGCUGGGAGCAACGGAGUUCGUUUGGUUGCAGCAAUCUGGGAAGAAAAAUAAAAAGACAUAAGUGAGGUUGAAGGGCUGAGGUUUCAUGUUCAGGCUCUGAGUUGAGACUCGUAACUUUUUAACGCUUCCCGAGAGAGCUGCAUCCUGGUUCAAAGACUCGAUUUCGGAAGGGGAUUCUCCACCCCAGUACAAGGAGAGUCUGGAUUCCACCAGGCCGGGAGAAGACCUCUGCGCUUGACAAAUCCCUUCAAAUUAAUCCUCGACAUGAAAGGGCUUAUGGUCUACUCGUCUGAUCAUAUUUUUAGCAUUAUCUUUAGCACCUGCUUGGUCUCAGGUGUGCGGAGCGGCUUAGAAACCUGUAGAGACUUCUUGCAGAGGGUAGGGGUUGGACAGGGAGAGGGAGGAGUGAAUUUCAAUACAUGGAUUCAAGGACUCGCUGUGUGAUCCCGCUCUAGUGAACUCCCCUCCGUAAAAAUCUAAUGCUCAGGUCGAUGGUGAGGUCUUUGGGCAGCUAGGAUGAACUCUGACCCCCGUGAGGACUGGCCAGCCCACACUGCGAGGCUUGGGAAUGACAUCGGUUUGUGUCCAGGCUGAGAUGACAGUGCUGUGGUGAGUGUGCUCCUGGGGUGUAGGUGACUUCUGCUGAAGUGAAGGUGAAGUAACACAGCCUGUUACUUCAUAUUCCACACGGGGCUCCACUAUGACAUCACUGAGCAUGUGUAGCUGGGAGUAAUAGCACGUGACUGAUGGAAAAUUUCAACGGGAUCAGAAUUCUGGGACUCCAGUCCUUAAUCUGUCUGAGCCUCUGUUUCCAUGUCAAGAAACAGGAAGAAGAAAUAUGUCACCUAGACUAAGGGUCAGGGGACUGCCUGCUUGUAUCGAAUCACUUCUCAGACCCCCGUCACCUACCCACCCGCUCUUCUCGCUCCAGCUGACGUGCUUCGGUUGAGAGCUGUCUCAGAUCUUUUCUGCGACCAGAACGCCAUACAAGCAAACAAAGUGUUUCACAUAAUCUGUUGCAGAAGCUGAUUAUCCAAGUACAUAAACAGUCUAUUAUAAACUGGC
Felis catus (domestic cat) is the source of this 1292-nucleotide long non-coding RNA. RefSeq lists it as uncharacterized. The record is from RefSeq and is a predicted model, not a curated record. Lineage: Eukaryota; Metazoa; Chordata; Mammalia; Carnivora; Felidae. The transcript has 2 exons.